RNAcentral lists this non-coding RNA (94 nucleotides) under Mesobacillus persicus. Lineage: Bacteria; Bacillati; Bacillota; Bacilli; Caryophanales; Bacillaceae. The record is from RNAcentral.
CAAAAUCUUGUAGUGAUACAAGACUGGAUAGUGAGAAGUCAGCAGAAGCCGUAGUAGUGAAGACAUCUAACGAAAGUUAGAGAGAGCGAAGGGC